AUUUGAUCUAGAGGGUGAGCUUCAACCUAACAUAUAAAUACCACCUCUAGGGCUUACACUUUCUCACACCAAUACCAACAUUCUCUAAGCCUCCUCCACAUUUCAAUCUUCUCAUAUUAAGCUCUUUAAUCCUCAUCAUGGGUGUUUUUACAUAUGAAACUGAGUUCACCUCUGCAUCCCACCACCAAGACUCUACAAGGCCUUUGUUCUUGAUGCCGACAACCUCAUCCCCAAAAUUGCCCCACAGGCUGUGAAGAGUACCGAAAUCGUUGAGGGAGAUGGAGGUGUAGGAACCAUCAAGAAGAUUCACCUCGGUGAAGGAAGCGAAUACAGCUAUGUGAAGCAUCAGAUUGAUGGACUUGACAAAGACAACUUUGUUUAUAACUACAGCAUAAUCGAAGGUGAUGCUAUCGGUGACAAGGUUGAGAAAAUCUCUUAUGAGAUUAAGUUGGUGGCAUCUCCAACUGGCUCCAUCAUCAAGAGCACCAGCCACUACCAUUGCAAAGGAGAGGUUGAGAUCAAGGAAGAGCAUGUCAAGGCCGGAAAAGAAAGAGCCGCUGGUUUGUUCAAGAUCAUUGAGAACUACCUUUUGGCCAACCCUGAGGCCUACAACUAAAUCAAACUACGAUAAUGCUAGUAUACUACUGCAUUAUACUGUGUCGUUGUGUCUUGUUCUUUAUAUCAUUUGGUGUGGCUUUGAUCUAUAUUCAUUUCUUUUUCUAUCGUACCAAGACAGAGAAUGUUUUGGAUUUUACUUGGAGUGAUGAGGAAUUGUGUAACGGUUUUACAUUUCAUUUGAACAAGUAAAGAAUAAAAUUUUCUGUUCCUCUUUAAUUU
Molecule: RNA transcript, 837 nt
Organism: Fragaria vesca subsp. vesca
Lineage: Eukaryota; Viridiplantae; Streptophyta; Magnoliopsida; Rosales; Rosaceae
Gene name: major allergen Pru ar 1-like
Exons: 1
Source: RefSeq, a predicted model, not a curated record